CAAGUCGAACGCAGUAGCAAUACUGAGUGGCAGACGGGUGAGUAACAUGUGGGAAUCUGCCUUGUGGUUCAGGACAACAUUGGGAAACCGAUGCUAAUACUGGAUAAGCCCUUACGGGGAAAGUUUUAAUGCCAUAAGAUGAGCCCGCAUUUGAUUAGUUAGUUGGUGGGGUAAUGGCUCACCAAGACAAUGAUCAAUAGCUGAUCUGAGAGGAUGAUCAGCCACACUGGGACUGAGACACGGCCCAGACUCCUACGGGAGGCAGCAGUGGGGAAUCUUGCACAAUGGAGGAAACUCUGAUGCAGCGAUGCCGCGUGAGUGAAGAAGGCCUUUGGGUUGUAAAGCUCUUUUGUAGGGGAAGAUAAUGACUGUACCCUAAGAAUAAGGUCCGGCUAACUUCGUGCCAGCAGCCGCGGUAAUACGAAGGGACCUAGCGUAGUUCGGAAUUACUGGGCGUAAAGCGCGCGUAGGCCGUUGAGUUAGUUAAUUGUGAAAUCCCAAAGCUUAACUUUGGAACUGCAAUUAAAACUGCUCGACUAGAGUUUGAUAGAGGAAAGCGGAAUACAUAGUGUAGAGGUGAAAUUCGUAGAUAUUAUGUAGAACACCAGUUGCGAAGGCGGCUUUCUGGAUCAACACUGACGCUGAGGCGCGAAAGUAUGGGUAGCAAAGAGGAUUAGAUACCCUCGUAGUCCAUACCAUAAACGAUGAUUGCUAGAUGUUGGAAAUUUAUUUUCAGUAUCGCAGCUAACGCAUUAAGCAAUCCGCCUGGGGAGUACGACCGCAAGGUUAAAACUCAAAUGAAUUGACGG
Molecule: ribosomal RNA, 809 nt
Filed under: uncultured bacterium
Lineage: Bacteria
Description: bacterial SSU rRNA
Rfam family: Bacterial small subunit ribosomal RNA
Source: RNAcentral